Molecule: non-coding RNA, 1503 nt
Organism: Myodes glareolus (Bank vole)
Lineage: Eukaryota; Metazoa; Chordata; Mammalia; Rodentia; Cricetidae
Source: RefSeq, a predicted model, not a curated record
UCAGCGUUCAUUUAUUCACUCCCUCACUCAUGCACCUGCUCAUCCCCCAAGGAACACCCAUUCUCAGCACAGCCAUUGUCUGCCAAGCACUAGGCUUGACUCCGAGAUGUGUGAGCUUGAAAACAGGCCCUUAACUUCCCAGAGCCUGCGAGGGAGUCAGCCUUGAAGAAUUCCACACAUUUGUGUCCUUUCCUCAUUCCUUAUCAAUGGUGUUUUGAAACUAUCGGAGCUUCCACUGCACUCAGGGUAACAAGUGCAUUCCUGGUCUCCCUUCCGUCAGAAGGUAGCCGCGUGUCUGGUACAGCCUGUGCAGGUAGAAACUUGGUUGGAGUUCUAGGCAAGUUUUGCUUUCCCAAGGGAGGAGAGACCGCUUCCCACUCCCCUUCCUCCUCUUUAUUUCCUCUUCUCCCAGAUAUGCAGCUCUAAGAUGGCCAGACAACCUCUGAAGUGAGGCGUGACAGAAUGGUAAGGGUACUAUUGCUGAACCCCACAACCUGUAUUUGAUCCCCAGAAUCCACAAGGUGAAGGAAAGAACUGACUCCCUUAAAUUGUUUUCUAACCUCUGCAUGUGCAGCAUGACACUGUAUACCCCCACACAUAAACACACACACACACACACACACACACCCCUCUACUGCUGUGUAUACUGGAUGUGAGGGUACCAGCUCAGAGAAAGGAGCUGGUGGGAGCCUACAAAAGCUCAGCCUAGCAGUGGAAACUGGCGGCUCCCCAAGAUUCCCUCCAUAAAUGCUGUCCUGUUAAGUACAGUCUGGUGUCCUGUGUUUCCAGAGCUCCACCAGGGAAGACUGCGAAGAGGUAGUCUGUAAAUAUUCUUUCCACCUACCAGCUGAUUGCCUAGCAUGAGGGAGGUCAGGGGGUUAUCCUGCCCACUUUCCGGGGCUGUCACUUUUGAGGCAGAGUUGCCAGAGCGUGGGUGGGAAGCUACCGUAAGAGUCAAGGUGCUACAUAGAGGUCACUCACCUUUCUUUUCACACCAGGAAGUCUGAAAUUAGAGGGAGAAGGGCAGGAGCCACGCAACAAAAGCUGAAGGAAAAGCUCUGUUUGUAACCCAAUUCCCAGCGGCCCCAGGAAGCCGUGGGCUGGUCUCUCUCCAUCCAUUCAAUGCUGCUUCUCCAGAUGAAUCCGCCACGGCAGUUGGGGAUCUGGACCUUCGAGACGUGGAGACAGAAAUCAAGAGCCCAUUCAUCACACGGAAAACAGACACCUGACAGAUCCAAUUCCACAUCGAUGCAUCAAACCUACAGAAAAACAGAGGGCCUCAUUUUCUCAGGCAAGGGACAGAAAAGUUGCCAAGUAAAGGCCACAGGGUAAAACAUCAGGGGCACUCUUUUAAUAUUCCCCCACCCCCACCCCAGGUGGUGGCAAAUCACAGCCUGUCAGGGUCUGUCUUUCAGAUCACAAGGCUAGAAGACUCCAGGUGUCUUGUGAGCAUGGACUCACUGGGCUGUUUGGGUCAAGGGAAUAAAACAUUCAAACACUUUG